Molecule: ribosomal RNA, 544 nt
Filed under: Ustilago longissima
Lineage: Eukaryota; Fungi; Basidiomycota; Ustilaginomycetes; Ustilaginales; Ustilaginaceae
Description: partial large subunit ribosomal RNA
Rfam family: Eukaryotic large subunit ribosomal RNA
Source: RNAcentral
AGCUGGCGUCUUCGGCGUCCGCAUUGUAAUCUCAAGAAGUGUUUUCCGCUUCGGACCAUGCCUAAGUCCCUUGGAAAAGGGCAUCAUAGAGGGUGAUAAUCCCGUACAUGGCAUGGAGCGCCCGAAGCUUUGUGAUACGCUUUCUAAGAGUCGAGUUGUUUGGGAAUGCAGCUCAAAAUGGGUGGUAAAUGCCAUCUAAGGCUAAAUAUUGGGGAGAGACCGAUAGCGAACAAGUACAGUGAUGGAAAGAUGAAAAGAACUUUGAAAAGAGAGUUAAACAGUACGUGAAAUUGCCAAAAGGGAAGGGUAGGAGGUCAGAGAUGCGGCCUAGGAUUCAGCCUUGCUUUUGCUUGGUGUUUUUCCUAGGUUGCAGGCCAACGUCGGUUUUGGGCACUGGAGAAGGGUGGAAGGAAUGUGGCACCUCUCGGGGUGUGUUAUAGCCUUCUACUGGAUACAGCGACCGAGACCGAGGACAGCAGCGUACUCGCAAGAGCGGGCCUUCGGGCACCUUUACGCUUAGGGCGUUGGCAUAAUGGCCCUCUAC